UCUUAUAUGGCAGAAUA
RNAcentral lists this transfer RNA (17 nucleotides) under Amara rufescens. RNAcentral's name for it is "partial tRNA-Leu". Lineage: Eukaryota; Metazoa; Arthropoda; Insecta; Coleoptera; Carabidae. The record is from RNAcentral.